UAGGGUUCGAUUAUGGCUCAGGACGAACGCUGGCGGCGGGCCUAAUACAUGCAAGUCGAACGCACUCGACCUUCGGGUCACAUGAGUGAGUGGCGAACGGGUGAGUAACACGUGAGAAACCUGCCCUGAAGACCGGAAUAACCCGAGGAAACUCGAGCUAAUGCCGGAUAUCCCCAUCUGGUCGCAUGGCCUAAUGAGGAAAUGUUCAGGCGCUUCAGGAGGGUCUCACGGCCUAUCAGCUAGUUGGUGAGGUAACGGCUCACCAAGGCAUCGACGGGUAGCUGGUCUGAGAGGACGAUCAGCCACACUGGGACUGAGACACGGCCCAGACUCCUACGGGAGGCAGCAGUAGGGAAUCUUGCGCAAUGGGCGAAAGCCUGACGCAGCCACGCCGCGUGAGGGAUGAAGGCUCUCGGGUUGUAAACCUCUUUCAGCAGGGACGAAAAUGACGGUACCUGCAGAAGGAGCUCCGGCCAACUACGUGCCAGCAGCCGCGGUAAUACA
This 504-nucleotide ribosomal RNA is filed under the name uncultured Actinomycetes bacterium. RNAcentral describes it as "bacterial SSU rRNA". It matches the Rfam family "Bacterial small subunit ribosomal RNA", at positions 1 to 527 of the family's 1533-position model. The record is from RNAcentral. Lineage: Bacteria; Bacillati; Actinomycetota; Actinomycetes.